GUGGGGACCAAGAAUGGAUUGGAAGUGUGCUACUGCUAUUCGACUCAUUUCUAGAGGGUCAUCCACCAUAGUGCCUGAAGUCGAGGAGAAGGAUCUUAUGGCAUUGAAGGAGUUUCUGGUUAAAGUCACUCGAUGAAAGUAAGAUGUGUUCAAGUCCCCUUCUUUUAACCAGUUGAUACGAGAUCUUUGUUUGAAAUAGGCUUCUUCAAUCUUUCUGAGGAAUUCCCAUCGAGUGUGAAGAGCACGUUCUUGUUGGAAUAGGGCAGAAGAAGGUGUGGCCAUCGCUUGUACCUGCACAUUGUUUAAUAAAAGCACUCAAAACAGCUAAACUUGUUUCCAAGGGAUGUAAAGUUCCAGCCAAGAUCCAUGCAGUCUCAAUCGUUUGGAGGAAUUGGGGAUGAGAGGUUAGGAAGUUAAAGAAUUUGAAAGGUUUGGUGCCAGCACACGGGAGGGAGGUUUCCAGGUUGAGAAGACAAGGCGAAUGAUCAGAAACUUCAGAAGCCAGGAAGGAAGCCACACUAUUGGGGUGAAGAAGGGACCUUGAUGACGGAGAUCAAACAGCUCCAUUUGCAGGAGGCAAUCGCGAAGUUCUAUCAUACGCGAGGACCAGUGAUCAACAUUCGGGUUUGAGUGCUCAGCUGGAUGGAUGAUUUGGUUGAAAUCCCCUCCAAGAAGCCAAGGUUGUGAAUCCAACUGGAGUCUUUGUUGAAGGUUGAUCAACUCACACCAGAGGAGAUUUCCACACGAUGAUUACUCUACCAUCCGGAUCAGAAGCAUGGUUAGAGACAAAUUGCCAACCAGGACAGGUAAGGUUCAUAACUCUGUUCAAAUUUGGUUCCUUGAUA
Molecule: non-coding RNA, 845 nt
Organism: Camelina sativa (false flax)
Lineage: Eukaryota; Viridiplantae; Streptophyta; Magnoliopsida; Brassicales; Brassicaceae
Source: RefSeq, a predicted model, not a curated record